AGCUAAGGUCAAAUGGUUAGCACUUAUCUUAAAAACAAGGAGUCGGCAGUUCGAUUCUGCCUCUGGCCA
RNAcentral lists this transfer RNA (69 nucleotides) under Candidatus Actinomarina sp. RNAcentral's name for it is "tRNA-Leu". It matches the Rfam family "tRNA". From Rfam's summary of the family: Transfer RNA (tRNA) molecules are approximately 80 nucleotides in length. Their secondary structure includes four short double-helical elements and three loops (D, anti-codon, and T loops). Further hydrogen bonds mediate the characteristic L-shaped molecular structure. tRNAs have two regions of fundamental functional importance: the anti-codon, which is responsible for specific mRNA codon recognition, and the 3' end, to which the tRNAs corresponding amino acid is attached (by aminoacyl-tRNA synthetases). tRNAs cope with the degeneracy of the genetic code in two manners: having more than one tRNA (with a specific anti-codon) for a particular amino acid; and 'wobble' base-pairing, i.e. permitting non-standard base-pairing at the 3rd anti-codon position. Lineage: Bacteria; Bacillati; Actinomycetota; Actinomycetes; Candidatus Actinomarinales; Candidatus Actinomarinaceae. The record is from RNAcentral.